Molecule: ribosomal RNA, 517 nt
Filed under: uncultured Zoogloea sp.
Lineage: Bacteria; Pseudomonadati; Pseudomonadota; Betaproteobacteria; Rhodocyclales; Zoogloeaceae
Description: partial 16S ribosomal RNA
Rfam family: Bacterial small subunit ribosomal RNA
Source: RNAcentral
UAGAGUUUGAUCAUGGCUCAGAUUGAACGCUGGCGGCAUGCUUUACACAGGCAAGUCGAACGGUAACAGGGAGCUUGCUCCGCUGACGAGUGGCGAACGGGUGAGUAAUGCAUCGGAACGUACCCAGUCGUGGGGGAUAACGUAGCGAAAGUUACGCUAAUACCGCAUACGUCCUGAGGGAGAAAGCGGGGGACCGAAAGGCCGCGCCAGCAAAUUGACGCCUACCCGGAGCCCGACCAGAUUUUCAUCGUGCUCGCCACCGCCGUUGCCGAAGUGGGCCGGGAUCACGACUGCGAACGGGCGAUUGUUGAACCCUCGUCGAUGCGCUCGAUCAUCCAGCUCGCCGGGCGCAUCCGCCGCCAUCGCCCCGAGGCUUACGAACAAGCCAACCUGCUGCUGCUCGAUACCAACAUCAAGCACCUCGUCGAAGGCCCCGGCAAACCCGCUUUUAUGCGCCCCGGUUUUGAGCACAGCGACCAAGGCUUUCAGCUGCACAGCCACCGCCUCAACGACAUCC